Molecule: ribosomal RNA, 253 nt
Filed under: uncultured bacterium
Lineage: Bacteria
Description: partial 16S ribosomal RNA
Rfam family: Bacterial small subunit ribosomal RNA
Source: RNAcentral
UACAGAGGUCUCAAGCGUUGUUCGGAUUCAUUGGGCGUAAAGGGUGUGUAGGUGGCGCGCUAAGUCGGGUGUGAAAUUUCGGAGCUUAACUCCGAAACUGCAUUCGAUACUGGCGUGCUUGAGGACUGGAGAGGAGACUGGAAUUUACGGUGUAGCAGUGAAAUGCGUAGAUAUCGUAAGGAAGACCAGUGGCGAAGGCGGGUCUCUGGGACGGUACUGACGCUGAGACGCGAAAGCGUGGGGAGCAAACAGG